Long non-coding RNA from Marmota flaviventris (yellow-bellied marmot), 703 nucleotides. RefSeq lists it as uncharacterized. The record is from RefSeq and is a predicted model, not a curated record. NCBI's taxonomy places the organism in Eukaryota, Metazoa, Chordata, Mammalia, Rodentia, Sciuridae.
CCUGACGCUGUUGAGUCCCGUGGGAGGGGAGCUGGGCACCCUGAUGCCCCUCGUCACCAGUUCCGGGGCUGCAGAGCAGAGAGUGACGACAGCCAGUGAUUCGUCUGUCGACGGCAAUGGGGGCCCUGGUGACGGCUGCUUUGUUGUUUUUUUCCUCUCUGGAAGAUGACUCAGUGUAUCAGGAGCCGGGAGAUGGAGCUCUCAGCUGAGUGGCCAGAAUGUUCUGUCAACAUGAAAGCAGCAGAAACAGCUCAUUGGGGCUCGGAGCCGAUCCCUAGCCUGGGGUCAUUUUCAGGGAGGGCUGAUGAGAGAAGAAGGCCACUGCCAGGCAUGAGGAUGGGGGCGAUACCAGAGAAUUCAGGAGAGUGCAGCUUGGCUUGUGAGCUGGUGACAACCUCUUGGUGACUGGCUCAGCUGAGGAUGGUGCUGGUGUUCCCAGGACAGCAUCAUACUGCUGGAUGGCUCGCUUGCAUUUUAUUUGGAGCACACAUACACACACAUGAAGCCUGGCAGUCCUGCUCUCUGUGAUGCUGUCGAGCCACAAGUGUGACCAAUGUGACAUGAUCCCAGUCUUGUCAGGGAGUCACCACCAGACUGCUCUUGGAAACCAGAAACAGCAAGGAAAACAGGAUCUAACCCCAUGCCAGCCUUCCAGCUUGAACCCUGAGUAGCAGCCUUGGAAGUCUCAGACCACAUGUCACCC